This 429-nucleotide ribosomal RNA is filed under the name Salmonella enterica. Its description in RNAcentral is "bacterial LSU rRNA". It matches the Rfam family "Bacterial large subunit ribosomal RNA", at positions 245 to 611 of the family's 2925-position model. The record is from RNAcentral. Lineage: Bacteria; Pseudomonadati; Pseudomonadota; Gammaproteobacteria; Enterobacterales; Enterobacteriaceae. RNAcentral also lists the same sequence under 1 other name.
AGCGGCGAGCGAACGGGGAUGAGCCCAGAGCCUGAAUCAGCAUGUGUGUUAGUGGAAGCGUCUGGAAAGGCGCGCGAUACAGGGUGACAGCCCCGUACACAAAAGCGCAUAUGCUGUGAGCUCGAUGAGUAGGGCGGGACACGUGGUAUCCUGUCUGAAUAUGGGGGGACCAUCCUCCAAGGCUAAAUACUCCUGACUGACCGAUAGUGAACCAGUACCGUGAGGGAAAGGCGAAAAGAACCCCGGCGAGGGGAGUGAAAAAGAACCUGAAACCGUGUACGUACAAGCAGUGGGAGCCCCACCACUAAGCCAGUGGUGAACUCCACAUACGCAUCCUUUGCUGAGGAUACGGUUAACGGAGCGAAAGCGACGUUCAACCUCAAAAGAAGCAGAGGGGGCUUAGUGGUGGGGUGACUGCGUACCUUUUGU